GGGGGACCUUCGGGCCUCUUGCCAUCGGAUGUGCCCAGAUGGGAUUAGCUAGUAGGUGGGGUAACGGCUCACCUAGGCGACGAUCCCUAGCUGGUCUGAGAGGAUGACCAGCCACACUGGAACUGAGACACGGUCCAGACUCCUACGGGAGGCAGCAGUGGGGAAUAUUGCACAAUGGGCGCAAGCCUGAUGCAGCCAUGCCGCGUGUAUGAAGAAGGCCUUCGGGUUGUAAAGUACUUUCAGCGGGGAGGAAGGGAGUAAAGUUAAUACCUUUGCUCAUUGACGUUACCCGCAGAAGAAGCACCGGCUAACUCCGUGCCAGCAGCCGCGGUAAUACGGAGGGUGCAAGCGUUAAUCGGAAUUACUGGGCGUAAAGCGCACGCAGGCGGUUUGUUAAGUCAGAUGUGAAUCCCUCGGGCUG
This 421-nucleotide ribosomal RNA is filed under the name Escherichia coli. RNAcentral describes it as "bacterial SSU rRNA". It matches the Rfam family "Bacterial small subunit ribosomal RNA", at positions 194 to 610 of the family's 1533-position model. Lineage: Bacteria; Pseudomonadati; Pseudomonadota; Gammaproteobacteria; Enterobacterales; Enterobacteriaceae. The record is from RNAcentral.